GAUGAAGAACGCAGCGAAAUGCGAUAAGUAAUGUGAAUUGCAGAAUUCAGUGAAUCAUCGAAUCUUUGAACGCACAUUGCGCCCGCCAGUAUUCUGGCGGGCAUGCCUGUCCGAGCGUCAUUUCAACCCUCGAACCCCUCCGGGGGGUCGGCGUUGGGGAUCGGCCCUGCCUCUUGGCGGUGGCCGUCUCCGAAAUACAGUGGCGGUCUCGCCGCAGCCUCUCCUGCGCAGUAGUUUGCACACUCGCAUCGGGAGCGCGGCGCGUCCACAGCCGUUAAACACCCAACUUCUGAAAUGUUGACCUCGGAUCAGGUAGGAAUACCCGCUGAACUUAAGCAUAUCAAUAAGCGGAGG
This 354-nucleotide unclassified non-coding RNA is filed under the name soil metagenome. Its description in RNAcentral is "partial contains 5.8S ribosomal RNA, internal transcribed spacer 2, and large subunit ribosomal RNA". The stretch from base 1 to 120 matches the Rfam family "5.8S ribosomal RNA", at positions 35 to 154 of the family's 154-position model. The record is from RNAcentral.